This 254-nucleotide ribosomal RNA is filed under the name uncultured bacterium. RNAcentral's name for it is "partial 16S ribosomal RNA". It matches the Rfam family "Bacterial small subunit ribosomal RNA", at positions 524 to 777 of the family's 1533-position model. The record is from RNAcentral.
UACAGAGGGUGCAAGCGUUGUUCGGAAUUAUUGGGCGUAAAGCGCGUGUAGGCGGCUUUGCAAGUCGGGUGUGAAAGCCCUCAGCUCAACUGAGGAAGUGCGCCCGAAACUGCAGAGCUUGAGUACCGGAGAGGAUGGCGGAAUUCCCCAAGUAGAGGUGAAAUUCGUAGAUAUGGGGAGGAACACCGGUGGCGAAGGCGGCCAUCUGGACGGAUACUGACGCUGAGACGCGAAAGCGUGGGUAGCAAACAGGA